ACGAACGCUGGCGGCGCGCCUAACACAUGCACGUCGAACGGAGUCAAGAGGAGCUUGCUUUUCUUGACUUAGUGGCGAACGGGUGAGUAACGCGUGAGUAACCUGCCCUGGAGUGGGGGACAACAGUUGGAAACGACUGCUAAUACCGCAUAAGCCCACGGAUCUGCAUGGAUCUGCGGGAAAAGGAUUUAUUCGCUCUAGGAUGGACUCGCGUCCAAUUAGCUAGUUGGUGAGGUAACGGCCCACCAAGGCGACGAUUGGUAGCCGGACUGAGAGGUUGAACGGCCACAUUGGGACUGAGACACGGCCCAGACUCCUACGGGAGGCAGCAGUGGGGGAUAUUGCACAAUGGGGGAAACCCUGAUGCAGCGACGCCGCGUGGAGGAAGAAGGUUUUCGGAUUGUAAACUCCUGUCGUUAGGGACGAUAAUGACGGUACCUAACAAGAAAGCACCAGCUAACUACGUG
Molecule: ribosomal RNA, 467 nt
Filed under: uncultured bacterium
Lineage: Bacteria
Description: partial 16S ribosomal RNA
Rfam family: Bacterial small subunit ribosomal RNA
Source: RNAcentral